Molecule: non-coding RNA, 1554 nt
Organism: Lonchura striata (white-rumped munia)
Lineage: Eukaryota; Metazoa; Chordata; Aves; Passeriformes; Estrildidae
Source: RefSeq, a predicted model, not a curated record
UCCCCGGCGGCCGGGGCUCCCCCCGCUCCUUCGCGAGGCACCGCCGAGCAGCGGAGCGAACCGGCCGAGGGGCGCGGCGGUGGCCGGGGCCUUCGGCGCUGCUGGAGCGCUGGUUCAGCUCGAAACAGAGAAAGCUGGGAGGGAAUCUGCUGGGCUUGGCUCCUUGGGAGAGGUUUUCGAGAAAACGGAGCCGAGCUCAGAACACAAGGAAAAAGAAGCGCUGUGCUGUCCUCCCAUUUGCUCUAUCGCAGAUUCUUUGACUUUACCCCUAUUCCUACUUUUCUAAAUCCAAGCACCAAGCAAACCCCUUUUACAGUUAGGGAAAAAACCUCUGAAGAUUGAAACGAAAAUUCAAUUAUUUUAACAUCCUAUUUAUUGAAUAAGAAGACACAAAGCUCUGAUCCCCAGACAUUGAUGAGGUCGGUUCGUAGGAAACUAUUUUCUUGCUCAUGUGCCAGUGCUUGCUUUCAGCCUGUAUAGUAUAAAAGAUCUUUCUUGGACUUUUUCCAGAUGGUCAACUUUCUUUCUGUAUCUGUCACUUUUUCUCCUUUUCUAAAGUUUCUCAGCACUGCACCACGUUCUGUAGCACGGACCGGACAGCUGCAUAUAAAGUGGAAACACUGGAAAUGGCCUUACAGCACAUGACCAGAAAAUCUGUGAGAGAGACAGAAAACUCAGCACCAACCAAGUAUGGUUCAGAUCAAAAAACUGCAGCAACUACUAGAAAUGAAGGAUUGAGAGAUGGACUGAGUGAAGACCAUAGCACAGAGUAUCUUAAAUGAGGGGACUGUGGUGGAAAGAUUCUAUAUAGGUGCUCCGUGAUGUGAAUUGGGAGAUCAUAUCCAGUAGAAAGCAUUAAAAGAAAAAAGGCACAAACUGCCUAUAACAAAAAUGUAUGGAGGCGUGUGCAGCGAAGAAGCAAUUUCCCCAAAUCAAAACAUUCAAAAGCAGCAGAAAGAGCAUAAAUAAUGUGCACAGAGACCUAGAGGAAGCACAUACUGCUACUGGAGGAAAAAAAGUUUGAAAAACUGGGUAUCAGUAAGUUGACAUGAGGAAAAAAAAACAAAAAACGUUUUGCAAUUGCUUUUUGUCCAAAGGAAUGGGACAAAUCCAUGGUAAUCUUUUGUUUCUUCAGUAGGUGGAUACUGAACUGGGCUGGUCACUCCAGGUCACAGGAUUCUAGUAAGUUCUGAAUCUAACAUAAGAAUCUAACUGUGUGGCUUGGUGUGAGGUACUUAAACAAAAGUUGGUACACCAUAUACUGAUUUUGUACAUGCACUAGACAGUACUGUUAGAUCUUUGUGUAUUGUAUCAAGAGAAAAACAAUUGGAAAUAAAUUUUGGUACUGCUAAGGUCAAGAAUAGAAGUCAGGAGAAUUAUCUUUGCUCAGUGCAGUGGGAUUUAUUUUGUUCAGUCAUUAAUGAAUCCCUAUCCAUCUAUACCAAACAAGUAAAUAAUAUCUAUUGUGACAGUAACAUUCCCCAGGUAUAUUUCUGUACAAGAGUGUUGUAAAGCAAACUUCCCAGUAUUAAAAAGUACAAACAUCCACAGCCA